This 253-nucleotide ribosomal RNA is filed under the name uncultured bacterium. Its description in RNAcentral is "partial 16S ribosomal RNA". It matches the Rfam family "Bacterial small subunit ribosomal RNA", at positions 524 to 776 of the family's 1533-position model. The record is from RNAcentral.
UACAAAGGGGGCAAGCGUUAUUCGGAAUUAUUGGGCGUAAAGGGCGCGUAGGCGGCCUUGCAAGUGGCGGGUGAAAUCCCUCGGCUUAACCGAGGAACUGCCUGCCAGACUGCAAGGCUCGAGACCGGGAGAGGUGAGUGGAAUUCCCAGUGUAGCGGUGAAAUGCGUAGAUAUUGGGAGGAACACCAAUGGCGAAGGCAGCUCGCUGGGACGUGACUGACGCUGAGACGCGAAAGCGUGGGGAGCAAACAGG